UGUCCUCCAUAGGAGGUCUAUAUUGAGCAGAUUCUUUUUGGUAUUGGGUGGUGGAACCGGAGCGUGCUCCAUCCACUCCAUGCAUUGACCUGGUAUUACAGUGCUUCCAGGACCGGUGC
Crocodylus porosus (Australian saltwater crocodile) is the source of this 119-nucleotide small nuclear RNA. Its record names the gene U2. It matches the Rfam family "U2 spliceosomal RNA". Rfam says of the family: U2 is a small nuclear RNA (snRNA) component of the spliceosome (involved in pre-mRNA splicing). Complementary binding between U2 snRNA (in an area lying towards the 5' end but 3' to hairpin I) and the branchpoint sequence (BPS) of the intron results the bulging out of an unpaired adenosine, on the BPS, which initiates a nucleophilic attack at the intronic 5' splice site, thus starting the first of two transesterification reactions that mediate splicing. Lineage: Eukaryota; Metazoa; Chordata; Crocodylia; Crocodylidae. The record is from Ensembl.